AUUGAACGCUAGCGGGAUGCUUUACACAUGCAAGUCGAACGAGUGGCGGACGGGUGAGUAAUAUAUCGGCACGUGCCCAUUCGCGGGGGAUCACUACUCGAAAGAGUGGCUAAUACCGCCUACUCUUGGAGCGGCCGAUAUCGGAUUAGCUAGUUGGUGGGGUAAAGGCUCACCAAGGCAACGAUCCGGAGCUGGUUUGAGAGGACGACCAGCAACACUGGUACUGAGACACGGCCCAGACUCCUACGGGAGGAAGCAGUGGGGAAGUUUCGACAAUGGGGGAAACCCGGAUCCAGCCAGCCCGCGGGUAUGAGAAGGCCUUCGGGUUGUAAAGUACUUUUGGCAGAGAAGCGGUAUCUGCAGAAUAAGCACCGGCUAACUACGAGCCAGCAGCCGCGGUAAUUC
RNAcentral lists this ribosomal RNA (405 nucleotides) under uncultured bacterium. RNAcentral's name for it is "partial 16S ribosomal RNA". It matches the Rfam family "Bacterial small subunit ribosomal RNA", at positions 30 to 526 of the family's 1533-position model. The record is from RNAcentral.